RNAcentral lists this ribosomal RNA (253 nucleotides) under uncultured bacterium. RNAcentral describes it as "partial 16S ribosomal RNA". It matches the Rfam family "Bacterial small subunit ribosomal RNA", at positions 524 to 776 of the family's 1533-position model. The record is from RNAcentral.
UACAGGGGGUGCAAACGUUGCUCGGAAUCACUGGGCGUAAAGCGCACGUAGGCGGAUUGUUAAGUCAGGGGUGAAAUCCUGGAGCUCAACUCCAGAACUGCCUUUGAUACUGGCGAUCUUGAGUCCGGGAGAGGUGAGUGGAACUCCGAGUGUAGAGGUGAAAUUCGUAGAUAUUGGGAGGAACACCGGUGGCGAAGGCGGCUCUCUGGACCGGUACUGACGCUGAGACGCGAAAGCCAGGGGAGCAAACGGG